CCUUCUUCUUCUCUCUUUCUCCUUCUUCCCUUUUCUUCCUUCUCUUUCCUUCUUUUCUUUCCUUUUUUCUUUCCCUCUCCCUUCUCCCCUGGGAGCUUUCUUUCAAUACUACCGGACUUGAGAGCGAUAGAGGAAAAUGGAAUUCCCGGUGUAGUGGUGAAAUGCGUAGAUAUCGGGAGGAACACCAGUGGCGAAAGCGAUUUUCUGGAUCGUUUCUGACGCUCAGACGCGAAAGCUAGGGUAGCAAACGG
Molecule: ribosomal RNA, 251 nt
Filed under: uncultured prokaryote
Description: partial 16S ribosomal RNA
Rfam family: Bacterial small subunit ribosomal RNA
Source: RNAcentral